This 507-nucleotide ribosomal RNA is filed under the name uncultured bacterium. Its description in RNAcentral is "partial 16S ribosomal RNA". The record is from RNAcentral.
GGAGUUAGCCGGUGCUUCUUCUGUGAGUGAUGUCCUUCCUGCCGGCUAUUAACCCGCAGGCCUUCUUCCUCACUGAAAGUGCUUUACAACCCGAAGGCCUUCUUCACACACGCGGCAUGGCUGGAUCAGGGUUGCCCCCAUUGUCCAAUAUUCCCCACUGCUGCCUCCCGUAGGAGUCUGGGCCGUGUCUCAGUCCCAGUGUGGCUGAUCAUCCUCUCAGACCAGCUACGGAUCGUCGCCUUGGUGAGCCGUUACCUCACCAACCAGCUAAUCCGACAUAGGCUCAUCCGAUAGCGCGAGGCCCGAAGGUCCCCCGCUUUCCCCCGUAGGGCGUAUGCGGUAUUAGCCUGGGUUUCCCCAGGUUAUCCCCCACUACCGGGCAGAUUCCUAUGCAUUACUCACCCGUCCGCCGCUCGCCACCAGGGAGCAAGCUCCCCGUGCUGCCGCUCGACUUGCAUGUGUUAGGCCUGCCGCCAGCGUUCAAUCUGAGCAGAANACAACUACUGA